CAAGAGUAAGAGAGAGAGAGAAGAGAAUACAUAACAGGGAAAGAGAGCAGGCAGGAGGGUGGGGGGAACCAUUACAAGGCCGGGAGAGAAUACAAAACACCCCAGUCUGAUUGCAGUGGCAUUGAGAAAAACAAACAGCAAUAGAAUCACAGGAUGAAGUCUGCAGGAGGGAAAUUCAACUUGGCUAUGCCUCAUAAGAUCUAUCACAGCAGGGCUCCCCCCCUUGAGGACUUGAUGCACCACUCUGAUUUAAACUUUUGAUGCUCAUUCCAAAAAAAGAAGCAAAAGCUUCUCUGCUGUGAAAGAAAGAAAGAAAGAAAAAAAGAAAGAAAGCGUAGGGAAAAAUUGUUCUGGAAAGCAAAAACACUUGAAAUAUGGUAGGUGAUAGGGUAUUGGUUAAGUAUUGACUCAAAGGGAAGUGUGCCACCAACCGAAUCACCAUUGGCACUUCCUGUAGCACAUAGAUAUUCCUGAGAGCUCUCUCAUGCAAGUUCUGAUCUACCCUAACCUUGCUUAGUGUGUGUGAUAGGCUGAUAACAGAACCUAAAACAAUAAAGGAAU
Molecule: long non-coding RNA, 561 nt
Organism: Mauremys reevesii (Reeves's turtle)
Lineage: Eukaryota; Metazoa; Chordata; Testudines; Geoemydidae
Exons: 3
Source: RefSeq, a predicted model, not a curated record